RNAcentral lists this ribosomal RNA (440 nucleotides) under uncultured bacterium. Its description in RNAcentral is "partial 16S ribosomal RNA". It matches the Rfam family "Bacterial small subunit ribosomal RNA", at positions 338 to 795 of the family's 1533-position model. The record is from RNAcentral.
CCUACGGGAGGCAGCAGUGGGGAAUAUUGCACAAUGGGGGGAACUCUGAUGCAGCAACGCCGCGUGGGUGAAGAAGUACUUCGGUAUGUAAAGCCCUGUCAGCAGGGAAGAAAAUGACGGUACCUGACCAAGAAUCCCCGGCUAACUACGUGCCAGCAGCCGCGGUAAUACGUAGGGGGCAAGCGUUAUCCGGAUUUACUGGGUUUAAAGGGAGCGUAGACGGCAAGGCAAGUCUGGAGUGAAAGCCCGUGGCUCAACCACGGAACUGCUUUGGAAACUGUGUUGCUGGAGUGCAGGAGGGGUAAGCGGAAUUCCUAGUGUAGCGGUGAAAUGCGUAGAUAUUAGGAGGAACACCGGUGGCGAAGGCGGCUUACUGGACUGUAACUGACGUUGAGGCUCGAAGGCGUGGGGAGCAAACAGGAUUAGAUACCCUGGUAGUC